AUGAGAUGCGAAUGGUUGAUUAGCUUUUGAAUGUUCUGAAGGCGAGUCAAAAUGUAAAGGUUGAAUGCACUGUAAAAUGAGAUGUGACAGGUUGUGGCCGUCAGUGGUUUUGAGACUUGCAUAAGACAAAAAUUGGGGUGCAUUCUUCUUUUUGUUCAUGAAAUUUAAACUGCAAAAUAGAAUAGUAUGAUAUGGCGAAGAAAUAUUUCUUUUACCUCUGGGCGCACCAUCGAGGGGCAAUAGAAAGAACUCCAGUCUCUGGAUGCCAAG
RNAcentral lists this long non-coding RNA (270 nucleotides) under Elaeis guineensis (African oil palm). RNAcentral's name for it is "long non-coding RNA (EGUI_LNC035185)". Lineage: Eukaryota; Viridiplantae; Streptophyta; Magnoliopsida; Arecales; Arecaceae. The record is from RNAcentral.